ACUAAACGUAAAAGACACGUUCUUCUCCCACUAAUCGUCACUAACUGUUAGUUAUUACACGUGUCGCUCAUAGAUGUAUUCGUCUCUACGGGUGGUCCUCCACUCCUCCGGGUUCUGGCCGGGCGAGGUGGAUCGGGUUCAACAGAGACGCUUCCCUUGAUCCACCGAGUCCCCGUCUAAAUCGAUUUCCGCCUUAAGCACCUGCUCCGCCACAGCUUGAUCAAUUGGCACUGUUACAGAUGCCCCCGCGAUCGUCGUCCAGAUUUCUCUUCUGAAGAACUCAUUCGCCUCUCUAAGGUGACUCUCGUUUCUUAUUCUAUUUCAACUUUUGAGAGUUGUAGAAUCGAUGUAUUUACAGAUCACCAUGGCGGUGUAUGAGACGGCGAUCAUGAUCAAAAUUCCUGUCUGACCUUCAUCUAAAACUUUUUCGGCGCCAGCAAAAUCCUUUCGGAAUGAGUUCGCUUGAGCACCUUUCGAUUUGGUUAUGGUAGUUGACGUAGAGAGUGAAAAUAGAUAGAAUGAAAUUACGUAUGCUGAAACAGUGCAUAAUAAACAAGUGAUCGUUUCUCUUACAUCCUCGGAUUUCGGGGUACGAGGUUAAAAAAAUAUUAAAAAGAGACAGAAAUUAUUGUUCUAAUUCAGCCAAAAAUAUCUUCAACUGUAAAAAAUAACAUAAAUUGCACAUUGCAAUAAAUAAAAUGUGUUAAAUAAAAAAUGCGGACAUCAUUUAUGUGAGUAAAAUAAAUAAUCAAAAUUUUACUACAAAAAGAAAUAUUAAAUCUGACAAACUAAUUGUGUAUGUGUAACAUAGUCAGAUGCUACUUGCGUACUCCAGAGCUUUACUAGUAACGUAUUCAAUCUUUCCUUCAUCUCCAAGAGAUUUUUCGUAUUCAAGAUAUUUUUUCAGCAAGAACUACAUAUAAAUAACAACAAUUUUUUUGUAUAAAUGAUGUAACAUCCAUUCAUAAUUGUGUUAAGCUGUAGGAAAAAAAUCAAAAUAAAUUAUACCUUCAUUUUUUUUGGAGGAAGACUUAGGCAAGUUACCCUCUCAAAUAAUGCCCGUAUAACUUCUACAUCAGCAAGGCGGAUCUCCUGCAAAAUUAGACAUAGAAUCAUAAAAUACUGUAAUAUUUUUUGGCAAAUGAUGAAGUUUUUAUUUUUUAUAUUUGUGUAGCAAUAGUGUUCAAAAAUAAGAAUUACUUGAUCAAGAUACACACUCCAUAAGUCUGUCCUCUUAGGAUAUUCACGGAGCAUGCCUUCAAACAUAGACCUUCCCCUAUCAGGGGAUCCAAAUUUAAAUUCAAUGAUUGCAGCUUGUGAAAUGAACUUAAUGUGUUUGUGAUGGGAUAGACACAAGAGAGCUUUUUUAACAACACCCUGAACAUCCCUAUUCUGCUUGAGAUGGCUUUGCACAUAUUGUAACCAGACCUGAAACUUACCAUAUAAGUAUCCAUAUUUAAAAUCAGUCAAACAAAGCCAGUCAAGAAAUAUUACCUUGCAGGAAUUCUUGAACUUUUUUGUCAUCUUCUCUAGAAGUUCAUCUACUUGACUCUGUUUCUCACUCCUUUGAUAAAUCCCUAAUAGAGCAAAAUGCAAUUUCUUGGGUUCACAAUACUGCAAAGCCCUCGCAAAUAUUCUCCUCACGGCAUCCUGGGUAUAAAAAUAAAUGCAAUUUUAGCUACCAAUAUAUGAAGAACAAUAAAAAUAUUUUAAGAUAUCUUUCAAAAAAAAAUUCAAAUACAUACCUCUGAUGGAUUCCCAUAUUCAUUCUCCAAAUUAAAAUAAGCCACCCAAAUAUUCAUCUUCUCAUUUUCUUCUCUAAUAUUUAUUAUCCUCAAAGCCCUGUUGAAAUCAAAUAGGUUUGAUGAAAAAUAAUUCUAAAAAUAUAUAUUUAUGUAUCUAAAACAACAUUAAUACCUUUCGGCAACCGAACGUGCCUUUUCUACAUCAGCCAGUGAAAGAAGGAAGGCCAUAUAUUUUAUCCAGACAAAACUACUAUCCGGGGAGGUUCGAACCAAUUUCUCAAAUUCAUCAGAAGUCCGUGGAACAUCAUUCUCUAAAAGUCUUUCUUCAGAAGCGCUCACUUGAAGUUCUCUGUGUAACAAAAUAAGAUUCUCAGAUAAAAUACUCAGAUAAAAUACUAGGAGUAAAUGAUAAAAUACCUUUCUUCCUUUUCUUUCUUUUUUGAGCGUUUCUUACUAUUUUCUACUUUUGCAAUAACAGGACAGGGGUCCCUAACUUUAACAAUAGGAUUAUCGUCAAAAUCAGAAUCACUCAUGUCAUCAAGCUUAACAUCAAGAGGAGGAACUGAAGACCGU
RNAcentral lists this long non-coding RNA (2318 nucleotides) under Zostera marina. RNAcentral describes it as "long non-coding RNA (ZMAR_LNC004449)". The record is from RNAcentral. Lineage: Eukaryota; Viridiplantae; Streptophyta; Magnoliopsida; Alismatales; Zosteraceae.